Molecule: non-coding RNA, 195 nt
Organism: Arabidopsis thaliana (thale cress)
Lineage: Eukaryota; Viridiplantae; Streptophyta; Magnoliopsida; Brassicales; Brassicaceae
Gene: MIR848
Product: microRNA ath-MIR848 precursor
Exons: 1
Source: RefSeq
AAAACUUUCAGAUUGCACAAGAGAAUAUGAAAAAGUAUUAACACAAGCCUUAUAGCUUGGCAAUCUCAUGUCAAAUAAGGAAAAGAAGAGGAACCCAAGGUAUGUUUCUCAUCUACCUUCUUUGACAUGGGACUGCCUAAGCUAAAGGCUUGCCAUGUUAUCACAUCCUUCUUUCAUUUCGUCGCAACCACUUUA